UACGAAGGGGGCUAGCGUUGCUCGGAAUCACUGGGCGUAAAGCGCACGUAGGCGGAUUGCUAAGUCAGGGGUGAAAUCCUGGAGCUCAACUCCAGAACUGCCUUUGAUACUGGCAACCUUGAGUCCGGGAGAGGUGAGUGGAACUGCGAGUGUAGAGGUGAAAUUCGUAGAUAUUCGCAAGAACACCAGUGGCGAAGGCGGCUCACUGGCCCGGUACUGACGCUGAGGUGCGAAAGCGUGGGGAGCGAACGGG
Molecule: ribosomal RNA, 253 nt
Filed under: uncultured bacterium
Lineage: Bacteria
Description: partial 16S ribosomal RNA
Rfam family: Bacterial small subunit ribosomal RNA
Source: RNAcentral